RNAcentral lists this Y RNA (98 nucleotides) under Carlito syrichta (Philippine tarsier). Its description in RNAcentral is "Y RNA (ENSTSYG00000031009.1)". It matches the Rfam family "Y RNA". From Rfam's summary of the family: Y RNAs are components of the Ro ribonucleoprotein particle (Ro RNP), in association with Ro60 and La proteins. The Y RNAs and Ro60 and La proteins are well conserved, but the function of the Ro RNP is not known. In humans the RNA component can be one of four small RNAs -- hY1, hY3, hY4 and hY5. Lineage: Eukaryota; Metazoa; Chordata; Mammalia; Primates; Tarsiidae. The record is from Rfam by way of RNAcentral.
GGCUGAUCCAAGUGCAGUGGUGUUUACAGCUAAUUGAUCAUAACUAGUUACAGAUUUCUUCCUUCUCCACUGCUGCUGCUUCAUUUGAGUAGCCAAGG